UCUUGGGGAGGAGUCAUUGGUGUGAGGAGGAGCCCCUGGUGUGAGGGGGCUCUUGGGGAGGGCUUGGUGUGAGGAGAGGGUAACCCGGUGUGAGGGGCUUUUGGAGAGGGGUCGUUGGUGUGAGGGGUUGUAUGAGGAGGGGUUUUGGUGUGAGGGGUGAUUUUAGGGGACAGGUGAGAGGUAGGAGGCCAGGAGAGAGCUGGCAUGUGGGGGUGCUGAGGGGAGUUUGGGAAAGGGGGUUUGUGGAAGCCCCGUGUGGAGACACUGAGGGGUGAGAGGGGCCUGAGGGAGAAGAUGGUGGGGGCUGCUGCUGAGGCCAUUUGAGCUCAGAUAGCAUUUUGAGGGGCACCAGGCCUGAGGGAGAAUGAGGAAAAAUACGUUGGGAGGGGCAGACACAUGAGGAGCUCAGCAAAGGGGGUACAUUAGGCCUGGACAUGGGUAGGGAGGAGAGGUGUAGGGGAGAGGCCUGGCAUGGGUGGGGACUUUUUGGGGGCAGUGUGGCAGAGGACAGUGGUUUUGGGGCAGGCUGGCUGUGGUGAGGACAUGGAGCCAAGUGGAGCUGCCUCUCUGGCCAGGAGCAGCUCAUCUACAGGCAGUGACAACCCUAGGAAAUGGUGGGUGACUGCUCUAGUGCAGCUGCCCUCACCAAAUGGGUGUAUUUCAGCCUGCCCUUGGCCAAGCUGUAUCUGGGUUGUGGCCAGAAGAGGGAAAAAAAAAAUCUCAUGGGUUGAGCACAUGGCCUCCUAAACUGUACUCUUGGCUCUCAGUGGUGGGUGCUGAACUUGGUAGGUUGUUGAGCCUUUGUGUGCUUUGGUAUCUCCAUCUACGAAGCAGAGAUAACAGUUGGCUUCAUGCAGGGAUUAAUUAUCGCAUCUUGUAGUCACGUAUUUGUUUAUUUGUUUUUACUAUAGAUUACAGCUGGAGGAAUUCUAAACAGUCCACUUCUCCUUGUCAUGGUGUUUGAGCGCAUUGUGCUCCUGUCUGAACAGAGGAAAUCACUGAGGUUUUCUCUCAUAGCUGAGUCAGCAGAAGAGAGUGUUCUGUUCCUGACCCUGCUGGGUUAGUGCUGACCACCUCAGCUCAGACCCCAGCCUGACAGUGCUGUGACUGCCCUGGCCUUUGUCCUGGACUGGCUGCUGUAGGGAUGUGUAUUGACACCAGCUGACUGUGCUACAGGGAUGUAGCCUCUGGAAGAGUGUGCUGGAGAGGAUGACUGGAGAUGUUGGACAACAGCUGGGGAACUCUUUGAGAAUCCCUAGAUUCCAUAUUAGCAUGGUGGCUUUUCCAGUGAUCUGCAAUGAACAGCUCUGCUGUUGACCUUAUCUGGAUCUUGAUCUCCUGUUUUAUAGAUUUUAUAGUAAGGGGGCUUCUGGUACACAGAUAAUCUGCUGCUACUCAAACCGAAAGUGAAAUCCCUGGCUGUUGGUCUGGUUGCUGUCUUUAGGACACGUGAAUGUCUGCUCCUGUUUUGCUGUAGGUAAUUUCUGUAUGUGGCAAAGUUGUGUGUGCCAGCCUGGAAGCUUUGUCCAUGAGCAGCAACAGUUCCUGUCUCUUGGUUUCUCAAAGCUGCAGCUCCUCACUGGUUCCACAGGCCUGCUUUGUCACAGAGUGUCAGUAACUUUGCAGAAGUCACUGCAUCCUCUGCUGUGCUUGGGAUCAACUCUGGCAUCUGUCUGAAUGUAUGUAUGUCCCUCCUGCAGAUCUGCUUUUCCUAUCCAGACUCUUACCUGGUGACUUUGUUCAUACCCUUUGCCUUAGAUAGAUGGUAGUAUGACUUAUUGUAUUUCUUAACAGUUUUUUAUCUUGAGACAUGGAUUGUUAUUAUGGAUUGUUUUUUAUCUUGGAACAUGGAUUGUUAUUAUUUUGGGAUAGGGGAAGAGGGCAAAAAUCCUGAGUAGAAAUAUGUUACAUUCUGGUCGUUCUUUAAGGAAGGUGUAGCAGGUCACAGAAUCAGUGCAUACAUAUCAUUUGUAAGGAAAAAAUAGGCGACCUUAGGCCUUUUUAUCCAUGAUUCUUUACCACAGAGAUCAGACAGGUGCUAUGUCUCCUUAGCUGUUUUGUACAUCCAUGGUGAAAUCAGUUGAUGGUCUGACCAGUUUCUAGUACUAAGCACUGUGCAUUGUCCACACAAAAUAGAUCUAGUUCU
Passer montanus (Eurasian tree sparrow) is the source of this 2146-nucleotide long non-coding RNA. RefSeq lists it as uncharacterized. Lineage: Eukaryota; Metazoa; Chordata; Aves; Passeriformes; Passeridae. The transcript has 3 exons. The record is from RefSeq and is a predicted model, not a curated record.